CAGUCGCCGCGGUAAUACGGAGGGGGCUAGCGUUGUUCGGAAUUACUGGGCGUAAAGCGCACGUAGGCGGCUUGGUAAGUUAGAGGUGAAAGCCUGGAGCUCAACUCCAGAAUUGCCUUUAAGACUGCCGAGCUAGCAGGUGAGAGAGGUAAGUGGAAUUCCGAGUGUAGAGGUGGAAUUCGUAGAUAUUAGGAAGAACACCAGUGGCGAAGGCGGCUCACUGGUCCGGUACUGACGCUGAGGUGCGAAAGCGUGGGGAGCAAACAGGAUUAGAUACCCCGGUAGUCCCUGUCUCUUAUAC
This 301-nucleotide ribosomal RNA is filed under the name uncultured bacterium. Its description in RNAcentral is "partial 16S ribosomal RNA". It matches the Rfam family "Bacterial small subunit ribosomal RNA", at positions 509 to 807 of the family's 1533-position model. The record is from RNAcentral.